CCUUACACCUGGCUUCUAGCUAAAAACACUGCAUUGAUUACAGGAACCUGUGCGCUCCACAAAGCCAAUCGGCUACAGGCACAUGAGGUGUCCACGAGUACCAGUUGCACCCAAGUAAUCAAUAAGCGGGCCCUUCUUUGUCUCAAGCUAGCCAAUAGCAAGCAACCUAAUCUCCUUCCUCUCCCUCCCCCCCUAUAUAUAUACCCAGUUCGGAAAAAUAAAGUUUGCAGCUUGAUCAGAA
Molecule: long non-coding RNA, 241 nt
Organism: Artibeus jamaicensis (Jamaican fruit-eating bat)
Lineage: Eukaryota; Metazoa; Chordata; Mammalia; Chiroptera; Phyllostomidae
Exons: 2
Source: RefSeq, a predicted model, not a curated record